This is a non-coding RNA of Caerostris darwini, 82 nucleotides long. NCBI's taxonomy places the organism in Eukaryota, Metazoa, Arthropoda, Arachnida, Araneae, Araneidae. The record is from the annotation of a GenBank genome assembly.
GUAAUCGUGGCCGAGUGGUUAAGGUGAUGGACUAGAAAUCCAAUGGGAUCUACCCACGUAGGUUCGAAUCCUACCCACUAUG